Molecule: ribosomal RNA, 497 nt
Filed under: uncultured bacterium
Lineage: Bacteria
Description: partial 16S ribosomal RNA
Rfam family: Bacterial small subunit ribosomal RNA
Source: RNAcentral
GAUGAACGCUGGCGGCGUGCCUAAUACAUGCAAGUCUAGCGAACAGACGAGGAGCUUGCUCCUCUGUCGUUAGCGGCGGACGGGUGAGUAACACGUGGAUAACCUACCUAUAAGACUGGGAUAACUUCGGGAAACCGGAGCUAAUACCUGAUAAUAUAUUGAACCGCAUGGUUCAAUAGUGAAUGACUGUUUUGCUGUCACUUAUAGAUGGAUCCUCGCCGCAUUAGCUAGUUUGUAAGGUAUCGGCUUACCAAGGCAACGAUGCGUAGCCGACCUGAGAGAGGGGUCGCACCCACAAGAAGUGGGAAAAAGUCAAGAAGCCUACGGGAGGCAGCAGUAGGGUACGUUCCGAAAUGGGCGAGAGCGUGACGGAGCAACGCCGCGUGAGUGAUGAAGAUGUUCGGAUCGUAAAACUGGGUUAGUAGGGAAGAACAAAUGUGGAAGUAACUAAGCAAGUCGUGAAGGUACCUAAUCAGAAAGCCACGGCUAACUACGUG